This 458-nucleotide ribosomal RNA is filed under the name uncultured bacterium. Its description in RNAcentral is "partial 16S ribosomal RNA". It matches the Rfam family "Bacterial small subunit ribosomal RNA", at positions 338 to 795 of the family's 1533-position model. The record is from RNAcentral.
CCUACGGGUGGCAGCAGUGAGGAAUAUUGGUCAAUGGGCGAGAGCCUGAACCAGCCAAGUCGCGUGAGGGAGUACUGCCCUAUGGGUUGUAAACCUCUUUUGUCGGGGAGCAAAAGCCGGACGUGUCCGGCUGUGAGAGUACCCGAAGAAAAAGCAUCGGCUAACUCCGUGCCAGCAGCCGCGGUAAUACGGAGGAUGCGAGCGUUAUCCGGAUUUAUUGGGUUUAAAGGGUGCGCAGGCGGAUUUGUAAGUCAGCGGUAAAAUCGUGGGGCGCAACCCCAUCCAGCCGUUGAAACUGGGGAUCUAGAGUGUGCGAGAGGUAUGCGGAAUGCGUGGUGUAGCGGCGAAAUGCAUAGAUAUCACGCAGAACCCCGAUUGCGAAGGCAGCAUACCGGUGCACAACUGACGCUCAGGCACGAAAGCGUGGGUAUCGAACAGGAUUAGAUACCCCGGUAGUC